Molecule: ribosomal RNA, 923 nt
Filed under: Neopyrenopeziza nigripigmentata
Lineage: Eukaryota; Fungi; Ascomycota; Leotiomycetes; Helotiales; Mollisiaceae
Description: SSU rRNA
Rfam family: Eukaryotic small subunit ribosomal RNA
Source: RNAcentral
CAAUAAAUACUGAUACAGGGCUCUUUUGGGUCUUGUAAUUGGAAUGAGUACAAUUUAAAUCCCUUAACGAGGAACAAUUGGAGGGCAAGUCUGGUGCCAGCAGCCGCGGUAAUUCCAGCUCCAAUAGCGUAUAUUAAAGUUGUUGCAGUUAAAAAGCUCGUAGUUGAACCUUGGGCCUGGUUGGCCGGUCCGCCUCACCGCGUGCACUGGUCCGACCGGGUCUUUCCUUCUGAGGAGCCGCAUGCCCUUCACUGGGUGUGUCGGGGAAUCAGGACUUUUACUUUGAAAAAAUUAGAGUGUUCAAAGCAGGCCUAUGCUCGAAUACAUUAGCAUGGAAUAAUAGAAUAGGGCGUGUGGUUCUAUUUUGUUGGUUUCUAGGACCGCCGUAAUGAUUAAUAGGGACGGUUGGGGGUAUCAGUAUUCAAUUGUCAGAGGUGAAAUUCUUGGAUUUAUUGAAGACUAACUACUGCGAAAGCAUUUACCAAAGAUGUUUUCAUUAAUCAGUGAACGAAAGUUAGGGGAUCGAAGACGAUUAUCUGGUCGUCGAUAGUAAUUUAGAGUUAUCUAAUCCAAUUCUACUUGGGUUACACCAUCAAAUUGUCGGGGACCUCCUAAAGCUAGUGCUACACCCUACUAUUAGAAAUAAUAGUAGUACUGUAAAAAUGCACUGGAUAUAACAAGCUUUGCUUGUGCUAUGGACAAUCCGCAGCCAAUUCCUAACGCUAUAAAGCUAUGGAUGCAGUUAACAGACUAGACGGUGGUGGGGCUUAGAGCCUUAAGAUAUAGUCGAGCACUCGCUGAAAGGCUAGUGAUGCAACGCAGAUACCGUCGUAGUCUUAACCAUAAACUAUGCCGACUAGGGAUCGGGCGAUGUUAUCUUUUUGACUCGCUCGGCACCUUACGAGAAAUCAAAGUCUUUGGGU